GACGAACGCUGGCGGCGUGCCUAAUACAUGCAAGUAGAACGCACAGUUUAUACCGUAGCUUGCUACACCAUAGACUGUGAGUUGCGAACGGGUGAGUAACGCGUAGGUAACCUGCCUGGUAGCGGGGGAUAACUAUUGGAAACGAUAGCUAAUACCGCAUAAUAUUAAUUAUUGCAUGAUAAUUAAUUGAAAGGUGCAAUUGCACCACUACCAGAUGGACCUGCGUUGUAUUAGCUAGUAGGUGAGGUAACGGCUCACCUAGGCGACGAUACAUAGCCGACCUGAGAGGGUGAUCGGCCACACUGGGACUGAGACACGGCCCAGACUCCUACGGGAGGCAGCAGUAGGGAAUCUUCGGCAAUGGACGAAAGGCUGACCGAGCAACGCCGCGUGAGUGAAGAAGGUUUUCGGAUCGUAAAGCUCUGUUGUAAGAGAAGAACGGGUGUGAGAGUGGAAAGUUCACACUGUGACGGUAUCUUAACAGAAAGGGACGGCUAACUACGUG
Molecule: ribosomal RNA, 505 nt
Filed under: uncultured bacterium
Lineage: Bacteria
Description: partial 16S ribosomal RNA
Rfam family: Bacterial small subunit ribosomal RNA
Source: RNAcentral